CGGAUGAGGGGUGCUUGCACUCUGAUUCAGCGGCGGACGGGUGAGUAAUGCCUAGGAAUCUGCCCGAUAGUGGGGGACAACGUUUCGAAAGGAACGCUAAUACCGCAUACGUCCUACGGGAGAAAGUGGGGGCUCUUCGGACCUCACGCUAUCGGAUGAGCCUAGGUCGGAUUAGCUAGUUGGUGGGGUAAAGGCUCACCAAGGCGACGAUCCGUAACUGGUCUGAGAGGAUGAUCAGUCACACUGGAACUGAGACACGGUCCAGACUCCUACGGGAGGCAGCAGUGGGGAAUAUUGGACAAUGGGCGAAAGCCUGAUCCAGCCAUGCCGCGUGUGUGAAGAAGGUCUUCGGAUUGUAAAGCACUUUAAGUCGGGAGGAAGGGCUGUAAGCGAAUACCUUGCAGCUUUGACGUUACCGACAGAAUAAGCACCGGCUAACUUCGUGCCAGCAGCCGCGGUAAUACGAAGGGUGCAAGCGUUAAUCGGAAUUACUGGGCGUAAAGCGCGCGUAGGUGGUUUGGUAAGUUGGAUGUGAAAGCCCCGGGCUCAACCUGGGAACUGCAUCCAAAACUGCCUGACUAGAGUACGGUAGAGGGUGGUG
Molecule: ribosomal RNA, 601 nt
Filed under: Azotobacter chroococcum
Lineage: Bacteria; Pseudomonadati; Pseudomonadota; Gammaproteobacteria; Pseudomonadales; Pseudomonadaceae
Description: bacterial SSU rRNA
Rfam family: Bacterial small subunit ribosomal RNA
Source: RNAcentral